GUGCCGGUAGCUCAAUGGACAGAGCACCACGUCUCGCAACUGGGUGAUACGGGUUCGAUUCCCGUCCGGCAUG
Molecule: transfer RNA, 73 nt
Filed under: Escherichia coli
Lineage: Bacteria; Pseudomonadati; Pseudomonadota; Gammaproteobacteria; Enterobacterales; Enterobacteriaceae
Also listed under: 3 other names
Description: tRNA-OTHER
Rfam family: tRNA
About the family: Transfer RNA (tRNA) molecules are approximately 80 nucleotides in length.
Source: RNAcentral